RNAcentral lists this small nuclear RNA (182 nucleotides) under Phaseolus vulgaris (common bean). RNAcentral describes it as "U2 spliceosomal RNA". It matches the Rfam family "U2 spliceosomal RNA". Rfam says of the family: U2 is a small nuclear RNA (snRNA) component of the spliceosome (involved in pre-mRNA splicing). Complementary binding between U2 snRNA (in an area lying towards the 5' end but 3' to hairpin I) and the branchpoint sequence (BPS) of the intron results the bulging out of an unpaired adenosine, on the BPS, which initiates a nucleophilic attack at the intronic 5' splice site, thus starting the first of two transesterification reactions that mediate splicing. The record is from Rfam by way of RNAcentral. Lineage: Eukaryota; Viridiplantae; Streptophyta; Magnoliopsida; Fabales; Fabaceae.
AUAGUUGGUAUUUUUGAGCUGUGUAUAUGUUCUUAUCAGUUUAAUAUUUGAUAUAUGUAUUAUUAAUUCACACGAUACUAAAUUAAUUUUUGAAGGAGAGAUUCCAAUAUAAUAGCUUGCUAUUGGGAAUCUUAUGUGUCGCUAAAGUCUUGCACUAUAGAAUUGAGUCUGGCACACAUAAA